AUUGAACGCUGGCGGCAGGCCUAACACAUGCAAGUCGAACGGUAACAGGAAGAAGCUUGCUUCUUUGCUGACGAGUGGCGGACGGGUGAGUAAUGUCUGGGAAACUCCUGACUGGAGGGGAAUAACUACUGAAAAGGGUGGCUAAUACAGAAUAACUCCUCAAGCCCAAAGGGGGGGACCUUGGGUCGGCUGGCGAUGGGGGUCUCCCGGAUGGGAUUAGCUUGGAGGUGGGGUAACGGCUCACCUAGGCGACGAUCCCUAGCUGGUCUGAGAGGAUGACCGGCCACACUGGAACUGAGACACGGUCCAGACUCCUACGGGAGGCAGCAGUGGGGAAUAUUGCACAAUAGGCGCAAGCCUGAUGCAGCCAUGCCGCGUGUAUGAAGAAGGCCUUCGGGUUGUAAAGUACUUUCAGCGGGGAGGAAGGGAGUAAAGUUAAUACCUUUGCUCAUUGACGUUACCCGCAGAAGAAGCACCGGCUAACUACGUG
RNAcentral lists this ribosomal RNA (490 nucleotides) under uncultured bacterium. RNAcentral describes it as "partial 16S ribosomal RNA". It matches the Rfam family "Bacterial small subunit ribosomal RNA", at positions 30 to 507 of the family's 1533-position model. The record is from RNAcentral.